AAAACAAUAAAAAAGAAAUUUCCAUCAUUGUUUUAUUGUAAUAGGUUUUGCAUAAUCAAAAAAUAUAAUUUGAAUAUUUUACAUCUAUUAUACAUCUCUGAAAGCUUAAUUUGCAUACGAGAAAAUAUAUAUCACACAAGACUAUCAAUGGAGGGAUUAGUAUUACUACAAUAGUUGAGGGUCUGGACGGGAUAUUUCAUCUUUUUAUUUUUUAAUUGUUAAGGCCAUUUUUCUCUAAACUUCAUUUAUUUGGCCCAUUAUCCUCUAUUCUUUAUAUUCAAACACUCCAUUAUUAUUUAUUCUUUCUUAUUUCCUUCCUAUUUUUCUAUUCUCUUCUCUCCCAAUUUUUUUCUAUUCUGUAAACCCCUUCCAGACCCCUAUAAUAAGUCUAAUUCAAAUUAUUAUGUAAGUGUAUUGCAAUACAAGUGUAUGCUCAUAUAAAACAAGUUAAUUUUAUAUUCUGUCAGAAUUAUCAGUCAGCUUAUAUGUAUCUUUUAAUAUAUUGCUAAUUUACUAAAAAAUCAACAAAUAAUUUCUCAAAAUAUUAAAAAUUAUAUAUAAACUAAGUAAAGGUAUUAAUAUUUUCUGAACUGUUCUCCUAAAUUAAUAAUAUAUUACUCAUAUUUGUUCUUGAUGUAUUGUUGUACUUUCACAGCCAGAAAUGAAACACAAAUAAUAAUAUAUACUUAGAAUACAAAAUUUUAAAUAUAAAAAAAAAAAUGUAUACUAAAAUUUCUGAACAAAAUAUAUAUGAAAAAAUGUUAAAAUCACGCACUAUAGGUAUAUAGCUGAUAAAUUCCAGUUAUUAAAAAGGAAAUUAUUAGGAAAGGAAUAUGUUUUCUCAAUAUACAAAAAUCUUAUGUACAACCCAUGACCUAUGAUAUGUUACAAAUAUCAGACUUGACACUAAUCUUUUACCUAGGGUUCAUAAAUGGGUACAUAAAUAAUAGACCUAAUCGCUAUUUUUGGAUACCCUAACACUUGACCUAUUGUCAUCAUACGAAAUCACUUUUGCUCUUUGCAGUCAGACCUUAACUCUUGUGUCAUCGAAAUUUUACGAAAAUAUGUAUAGCAACCAAUCAAAGGCAGACUAAUAGUCAAAAGGCGUGUCUUAAGAUGUUUUUUCUACAACCUAUUAUAAAACAAGAUAUGUACAAAAGUAGUAACAACCCAUUAUCACAUGACAUUUGGUGAUGAAUAUCUGCAUAAUUUACAUAAAAUGGUUUAUUUAUUCAAAUAAGAUAAAAUACAGAUGCAUAUAUAAUGAAACAAAUCUUAAUGGAUGAGAUUGACUCAAUGUGUGUUGACCUCUUACUAGACAAAGGAACUUCUCUUGUUUGCACCAGGGCUUCCAAAAAAAAUUUGAGCCAGCCGGACAUUUCAUAUCUGAUCCCGAUUUUAAUCCCUUAAGACUUAGUCACAAAAGGCAAUUAUGGUAAUCAGAUGGCCAUUCCAAUGAUUGACAUUACAUUAAAAAAACGAUUUUAAACUUUACUUUGAUAUGAUUUGAAUUUGAUGUUCGGAUGUAAAUGUUAAAUUGGCAGUGCAUCAUUCAAAGUGUGCACAUCAGCGUGCUCAUAUCUGCCUUAAACUUUUUAUUUGUGCAAAAUGAUAUUGUCAAAAUCUAUAGUUUCGUUUUCACAUUGUUCUAACCGGAUGUUGACUUGACAAUGGUAAAACAUGGACCAUAAACGGAUACAUAAAAUCUGUGUACGUUUACAAAGCACGACUGAGAGAAGAAGCUCUUUCCACGUUAUUUCUUCAACAAAAUACUUGAAUUGAACGUUAGAUACAGGUAUCAAUGAUAAUUUUAGCAUUUUUGAAGAAAUGUAGGAUGCAUUAUCAAAUUUCCCAACUGUGCACAUGCGCACACGUGUUAUCUGGCUAUAGUUCAUACGACGUAGUUCUGACGAUUUUUUAUUUAAAACCUUUUUAAAUUUUUCAUCAAAUCAUGUUGAUAAACUAAUUUCUAAUAAUUUUAAUCUUUUGGACUAAAUCAAUUAGAAACAAACCGCUGAAAUGUAAAAAAAUAAUUCUGAAUAAACCGAUCAAUUUACACGAUGUCCGGUACUGAACAUAGUUCACCUGUCAC
RNAcentral lists this long non-coding RNA (2092 nucleotides) under Mytilus galloprovincialis (Mediterranean mussel). Lineage: Eukaryota; Metazoa; Mollusca; Bivalvia; Mytilida; Mytilidae. The record is from RNAcentral.